This 75-nucleotide transfer RNA is filed under the name Sphaerodactylus townsendi. RNAcentral's name for it is "tRNA-Ala". It matches the Rfam family "tRNA". From Rfam's summary of the family: Transfer RNA (tRNA) molecules are approximately 80 nucleotides in length. Their secondary structure includes four short double-helical elements and three loops (D, anti-codon, and T loops). Lineage: Eukaryota; Metazoa; Chordata; Lepidosauria; Squamata; Sphaerodactylidae. The record is from RNAcentral.
GGAGAGGCUGUGGCUCAGUGGUAGAGUAUCUGCUUUGCCUGUAGAAGGUCUCAGGUUUAAUUCCCAGCAUUUCCA